CCUAAAUCCAUUACAUAUGUACAGUAUAUUUUGUAAUAAAUAUUAUUCAUUCUUAAUUGAUAUGACACAUUUCACCAAAUGAAGGUUAUUAUGUUGUUAGUUAAUUUCCACAGCCAUUUUUAACCUUGAUAAGCAUUUUCAUUUUUUCACACAGAUGACCUACUACAUAUACCAUUUCCCCAAACACUACAAAGUUCUCAAAACCAAGGUUCAUGUUUUAAAAACAGUUAAUGCAGCCAUCUAGAGAAAGUAAGCAAAAUUAAAAUAUAUUUUUGGAUGGUUCACACACAAAUUACCAAAAUGCACAUACAAUUUUGUCAAAAAUAACAAACAAAACUCUACAUAAAGUUAAAUUUGCCAUCUGGCCAAAUUAAAAAGGCAUGCGCUCAAUUACUGUCAAAUUGUUGUCAGCUGGGUCAGUAAAGCACAAAAACAGGAAGUGCGACUUGCUUAAUUGUUCACAUUGAAACCAGCACUUUGCUAUGUAUAAAAGGAGUCACCUGUGAAAGCCAUGGAGCUUGAAUAAACAAUGGAGGAACCUCGAGAAAGAGUUAGAAGAGGAAGUGUAAGAAUGAGAGGAGCUGGAGGAGGGGAGAAAGGAAGAGAAGAGGGGAGAAGGUAGAAAGGAGAGGAAAUGGAGAGCAAGAGGGUACAAGCAGAGAAACUCUUAUUAACCAUGUCAUCAACCAUGGUCUCACCCUGAGAGAGCUGGACAGAGAGUUCAGUCUAAUGUGAGUUGAUCUGCUAGUGCUUCAAUCAUUCGAACAUUGCAGAGCGCAAACAGAUAAGUGCAUUGUGGGCAUUGUAUUUCUAAAUCAUCAGAGUAUUUCAGUAUGACGUACACUGUAUGGUACUGUUUUUUUCCCACUGAUAUGAAACAUAACUAAAAUCCAUGUUCUCAACACAAACAGAGCCACGUGACCCCUUCCAAUAUGACCAUCAAUCUUCCACUACCCAGUGUCAGUUAAUUCUUCCGACUGUGUACCGACAUUUAGUCAGUUAGUGCUAUGACAGCCUUACAGUUGAUGAAUGUACAGUUAUCCCAUACAUUGUUCAGAACGGAACACUGAGCACCUUCAUGUGUAUGAACAUGGCUUCUCUCUGGUCAAACAGAACAACACCAUACGCCUCAAAUAAAUACAAAUAAUAAUCCAGGACGAUAUAAUUUUCCGUGUUGUGUUACUAGAGGUACCUGAUGACACUGGUUAUACAGUGUGUUGUAUUACUACAGGUACCUGAUGACACUGGUUAUACAGUGUGUUGUAUAACUAGAGGUAUUUGAUGACAUUGAUUAUACAGUGUGUUGUAUUACCAGAGGUACCUGAUGACACUGGUUAUACAGUGUGUUGUAUUACUAGUGGUACUUGAUGACACUGGUUAUACAGUGUGUUGUAUUACUAGAGGUAUUUGAUGACAUUGAUUAUACAGUGUGUUGUAUUACUAGAGGUACCUGAUGACACUGAUUAUACAGUGUGUUGUAUUACUACAGGUACCUGAUGACACUGGUUAUACAGUGUGUUGUAUUACUACAGGUACUUGAUGACACUGAUAACACAGUGUGUUGUAUUACCAGAGGUACUUGAUGACACUGGUUAUACAGUGUGUUGUAUUACUACAGGUACUUGAUGACACUGAUUACACAGUGUGUUGUAUUACCAGAGGUACCUGAUGACACUGAUUAUACAGUGUGUUGUAUUACUACAGGUACAUGAUGACACUGAUUAUACAGUGUGUUGUAUUACCAGAGGUACCUGAUGACACUGAUUACACAGUGUGUUGUAUUACUACAGGUACUUGAUGACACUGAUUACACAGUGUGUUGUAUUACCAGAGGUACCUGAUGACACUGGUUAUAGUGUGUUGCAUUACUACAGGUACCUGAUGAAACUGGUUAUACAGCAUGUUGUAUAACUAGAGGUAUUUGAUGACAUUGAUUAUACAGUGUGUCGUAUUACUAGAGGUACCUGAUGACACUGAUUAUACAGUGUGUUGUAUUACUAGAGAUACUUGAUGACACUGGUUAUGCAGCGUGUUGUGUUACUUGAUGUACCAGAUGACAAUGGUUAUGCUGUGUGUUGUAUUAGUAGAGGUACCCGAUGACACUGUUUAUGCAGUGUGUUGUUACUUGACAUACCAGAAGACACUGGUUAUGCAGCGUGUUGUGUUACUUGGCAUACCAGAUGACACUGAUUAUACGGUGUGUUGUGUUACUACAGGUACCUGAUGAGACUGAUUAUACAGUGUGUUGUUUUACUAGAGGUACUUGAUGACACUGAUUAUACAUUGUGUUGUAUUAGUAGAGGUACAUAAUGACACUGGUUAUACAGUGUGUUGUGUUAAUUGACGUACCAGAUGACACUGGUUAUGUAGCGUGUUGUGUUACUUAACGUACCAGAUGACACUGGUUAUGCAGCGUGUUGUGUUACUUGACAUACCAGAUUACACUGGUUAUAGAUAGUGUUGUAUUACUUGUGAGGCACAGCAGAGUCAUUUUAAGCAUAUUAUUUUGGUAGUUUUCUUUAUUUUGCUGGACUGAUGUUGCCUGCAUCUGGUGAGAGUUUGAGUAGCGAGGGAGAGGGAAGCUUCCUUACAUCUUUCAAAUCUCUGUCCGUUCCUUGAGACUGACACAAAUAAGGGCACUAUAUUGUUUCUGCAACUUGCACAAAAUAAUGUUACUACCGCCAUAGCCAGAGAAACAAAAAUAUUACUUAUUUAUUUAAGCAAGCUGUUGAUAAUAACAAAGAAAGCCAAUCGAUACAUUUUCUACUCAUAAUGCCGCAGUUGUCACGUCCUGCAGUGAGAUCCAAAAGCCUCUUCCCAAAUUUUAAGCACGGAGCAAUUUGUUAUUGAUCACUGUCCCUAUUUACGUUCUUCCGCCCCUAGUGCAUCUUGUUGGUCAUUGUGAAGUUCCUGUUCCUUUUGUAAUACUGUUCCUUUAUUGUUUUAGUUUUCUUAUGUCUUAGUCCUUUUUAUUAGAAUUAUUCACUUCUACCGCCGCCUGCCCUUAGCUCCUACUUGCAAUUUUACAGGAGUGCUGGUUGUGCGCAAGUAGAGAAGUCAUUUUAUGCAAAUGCUGAUGUGUUGACUGCUGAAUAAGUAACUAAUAAAAAAAGCAUGAAUGCAUGACUUUAUUGUUGCAAUUUUUAUAGAGAUGUUUGGGAGUAGGAACGUAUUUCACAAGUUGUUUUCAACAGUUUUCAGCGGUAGGCUAGAGCAGGGAAUAAAUGUUUAACUGAAGAUGUCGGGCAAUUAACUGACGAGAUCCACUUUUUACUGGCCCUGGGCAAGCAGACAAUCGUUAAUGUUGGACUCUGGUUUUCAUUCAAAUUUGGCAUGGAAAUGACUGUAACUGUUACGAUAAAGUUGUGACUAACUGUAAUUAUAACCAUGUGAAAAUGACUGCAACUAUAACAGAAACAAUGUGAAAAUGAAUGUAACUAACGUUAACCCUGUGAAAAUUACUGUAACUGUAACGAUGUGUGAAACUGACAACAUCUGAUUACCGGUAACAACACUUAGUUUCAGCUGAACCAUUGAUUUCCUAUGGAGACUGGUACCCCUGAAACUAUAGGCAGGCUACCUUGGGUGUUGUGCUAAUAAAUAGUUAAUGUUAUGCAGCAGAAAUACAAGUCUCCCUGUGCCUAGCCCUACAUCAACAUAAGCCUCACCUAGCAGGGAGUAAAGGUUAGACUGCUCAUCACAUGUUGUCAGCUCAACUUCAACAAUAGUAACCAUUACGUUUUUGGGUUUUGUUAUUGGAGGAUUGUGGAGUUAGAUGAAAAACUAUGUUGAUGAUUCUGUCUUCAAUCUCACCAAAAAAAAGGAGAUGGAAUUAUCAACCAUGGCCAAUUUCCUGGGUCAAAGUGGGGCCAACCAUCUGUCCUUCAAUCUCAUUGAAUGUGGUUGUCUUGGGGCCAUACAAUACAGCAAGACUCCUCAAUUUGUUUUCAAUUCCCUCACUGAAGACCUGGAACAACUAGAACAAAUGUAGUUUGUGAUGGUUUGGGACAAUUUCAGAUUCCUGCAUUCAGCAUUGCUAUGGGAGUGGAUUGAAAACCACCCACGUUUUGUGACUGUGUUCCUACCACCGUACUCUCCAUUUUUGAACCCAGUUGAGCACUUAUUUUCCUCCUGGAGAACCCCAUAACAGGGUAACAUUUCUCCAGGCCAUGGAGGAGGCCUGUGUAGACAAAGAGGCCAAUGCAUGUUACAGAAGGAUAAAACACUUGCAGAAUGUUACCCCCUCUAUGUCUGGCUCAAGAAAAAGUAAAUUCUGAUUUUGAAAAUACCCUGAUGAAAAGAUUUUUUAUUUAAUUAUCUGGAGACAAUAAAAAAACAACACUUCAUUUUGCAAUGAGUCUGUUCCAAUGGUUGUGUUGUCUACAGUUAGGUCUGGACAUAAUUGGACACUGACACAAGUUUAGUUAUUAUGGCUGUUCACCAAAAUAUAUUCAAGUUACAGUUAAAUAAUAAAUAUGGGCUUAAAGUGCAGUCUCUCAGCUUUUAUUUGAGGGCUACACAAAAAAAAUCUGUCAGAGAUAGCAGGAACAUUAGGAGUGGCCAAAUCAACAGUUUGGUUACAGAAAAAAAAUUAUGCACUGGUGAGCUCUGCAACACAGAAAAUCCUGGACGUCCACGGAAGACAACAGUGGUGGAGGUAGGAUAAUUUCCUUUUUUCUUUUCUUCCCAUCAUUCUGGUGGGCAUAUCAUUAUCCAUGUCUAUCAUAAAGAGAAGACUUCACGACAGCAAAUACAGAGGGUUCACCACAAGGUGCAAAUAAUUCAUAAGCCUCAAGAAUAGAAAGGCCAGAUUAGACUUACCAAAGUUAUGGAACGGCAUUCUUUGGACAGAUAAAACUAAGAUCAACCUGUACCAGAAUGAUGGGGAAGAGGUAUGGAGAAGACUUGGAAUGGCCCAUGAUCCUAUAAAACAUGGUGGAUUCAAUAUUUUUGCUCAUCCCCUUGAAUUAAAGCUAUAAGUCUGCACUUCAACUGCAUCUCGGUUGUUUCAUUUCAAAUCAAUUGUGGUGGCGUACAGAGCCAAAAGUAUGUAUAUUGUGUCAGUGUCCAAAUAUUUCCAGACCUAACUGUAUUUUCAGAGAAUAAACCUCCGUUUGGAGUAAUGUGUCAAAUCAAUUGGGAAGAACUGAAAGUGGACUAACACAUCCACAGAAGGGAACUCUAAGCGCCAAGCAGUAACUCUAGCAGUACACCCCCGCUUUGUGUUUCAUUUCCAUAGAAAAACGCUGCUUUUUCUACUUCAAAAACCACUAGCGUCCUCUCUUUGGGCUCAGUGGUUACAGGUUAGCCAGUGUCAUCUGCCACACUGAGACGGUUGUGUGUCGGGUUAAGGGCUUCCCCCCCAGCACCAACAGCAAAUCGGGAAGGUGUUGUGCCAUGCUGUCAUUGCUCUCCUCCAGUUCACAUGUACCCUCCUUCUCUGUAUCCCAGCAGCUCCACUUUUCACCGAAGGCCUCCUGAUUCUCAAAGGUAAGACAAUUCCCUACGGGUUCAACGCCCUUGCCGUUAACGGCAUUAUGACAGUCCGUCACUUCAGUCAACAGAGGGUCCCUAUUAAAUGUCUUCAGUUCAAUAUCACCUCCGGUGUCUGGAUUGGACGGAAAGCAUUUGUUUUUAAACGGGCGUAACUUGCUCUCCAGGCGGUUCCUGGCGGUGACGCUGGGUGUCAUGGUGGUGCUUGUGGUGGUGGUCAAGGCCGACUGGUAACUGCAGCCCAGGCCGACACAGCAGUGAUGGAUCCGGUGGGGAGGAGGGCUGGAGCUGGGUAGUACAGCUAGCUUUCCCCACGUCUGAGUGUUAAAGCUAUAUCUGUGGAUGAAAAAAUAUAUAUGUAAUAAUC
Esox lucius (northern pike) is the source of this 5860-nucleotide long non-coding RNA. NCBI's taxonomy places the organism in Eukaryota, Metazoa, Chordata, Actinopteri, Esociformes, Esocidae. The record is from Ensembl.